UGGGGAAUCUUCCGCAAUGGACGAAAGUCUGACGGAGCAACGCCGCGUGAGUGAAGAAGGUUUUCGGAUCGUAAAACUCUGUCUUUUGGGGCGAACGUGAGUAUGGUGAACAAUCAUAGUCAGUGACGGUACCAAAGGAGGAAGCCACGGCUAACUACGUGCCAGCGGCCGCGGUAAUACGUAGGUGGCAAGCGUUGUCCGGAAUUAUUGGGCGUAAAGAGCGCGUAGGCGGGAUAGUCAGUCUGUUGUAAAAGUGCGGGGCUCAACCCCGUGAUGGCAAUGGAAACAGCUAUUCUUGAGUGCAGGAGAGGAAAGUGGAAUUCCCAGUGUAGCGGUGAAAUGCGUAGAUAUUGGGAGGAACACCAGUGGCGAAGGCGACUUUCUGGACUGUGUCUGACGCUGAGGCGCGAAAGCCAGGGGAGCGAACGGGAUUAGAUACCCUGGUAGUCCUGGCCGUAAACGAUGGGUACUAGGUGUGGGAGGUAUCGACCCCUUCCGUGCCGGAGUUAACGCAAUAAGUACCCCGCCUGGGGAGUACGGUCGCAAGACUGAAACUUAAAGGAAUUGACGGGGUCAUAGCUGUUUCCUG
Molecule: ribosomal RNA, 589 nt
Filed under: uncultured bacterium
Lineage: Bacteria
Description: partial 16S ribosomal RNA
Rfam family: Bacterial small subunit ribosomal RNA
Source: RNAcentral